UUCAGGGGUAAACCUGAGAAGCCCGAAAGGUCGAAUGGGGAAAUUCAUUCGCGUUUCGGCCGCCGGCGUGGUACGGUCGAGUGACGGACGGCGUACGCGUCGUCCGCGCCUUCCGUUCUUCGAACCGGCGUCGAACGCGUGCACUUUUCCCCUAGUAGGACGUCGCGAUCCGUUGGGUGUCGGUCUACGGCUCGCGGUGGAGCCCGUGCGGUCGCUUCGCGGCGUAUCGCACGGACCCGCGGUGUCCCGACCGACUCGCUCGACGGUAUACAGAUGGCGCGGGGCCGCUACCUUUCAGUUAGCGUUCGGCCCGCGGCAAGCGCGUUCGUUGUUUGACGGCGAUCGGACCUGGUGCCGGUCCCGUCCGCGAACGACUGUUGGCUGCGGUGUUCUCGAACAGACCUCGAAUCGAAACGCCGAUCUGCGACGCUAUAGCUUUGGGUACUUUCAGGACCCACGGACCAAGGAGUCUAGCAUGUACGCGAGUCAUUGGGACAUAACUAAACCUAAAGGCGUAAUGAAAGUGAAGGUCCGCCUUGCGCGGAUCGAGGGAGGACGAGCGGCGUAGAUCGCCCCUAAAAGCGGCCGCUCCGCACUCCCGGGGCGUCUCGUUCUCAUCGCGAGAAGAGGCGCACCAAGAGC
Molecule: ribosomal RNA, 642 nt
Filed under: Chlorophorus miwai
Lineage: Eukaryota; Metazoa; Arthropoda; Insecta; Coleoptera; Cerambycidae
Description: eukaryotic LSU rRNA
Source: RNAcentral